Molecule: long non-coding RNA, 2349 nt
Organism: Uranotaenia lowii
Lineage: Eukaryota; Metazoa; Arthropoda; Insecta; Diptera; Culicidae
Exons: 5
Source: RefSeq, a predicted model, not a curated record
UUUUAUCACUCACCCCAGAUGCAUUGAGGAUGUUGACUCGUUUCUAAUCACAUGGAAUGAUAGUUCAUCAAUGGUUAAUCCUGACGUGUCAAAUAAUUAUGAAACAGUAAAGUUCUGUCUGCUUCGUCAUUAUUAACACUAAACAUACCGACACUUUGUAUAUACCUAUUCAUACCGCGAGCAGUCAAAUGACGGCAAACACUGUUUUCGCUAAAACUCCCCAGCCAACAUGAAAUCGUAAAAGAAAUCAUCGUCAAACUCUUAUAUGGGUGCAACUCAAAUCGGAUUCGUAAAUGUGUACACUUAACAUUCGACCAUAUCGUAUAUUCAUCGUAGAAGGUGUUAAAAUCAAACGAAAUACGAUUUAGUUACGAUACGUUGAAUGAAGUCGUAUUUAGUACGGCCGAUGCGAAAUGAAAUCCAAUAAUAAUCGCAUAAGAUUUCUUAAGACGUAUUUUAUUUGUACAUGAAAUACUUUUGUAUCUAAAUCGUAAACGACUUCAGAUAGAUUCGUAAGGAAUACCCCGUAAACAUCGUUUAUCGUAUCAAUUUAUAUAUUUUAUAGAAUGUCACAUUAAGAGGCAAAUCAACGUCAUCAUCGUAUAACCGGUCACAUAGCCCACGAGAUAAAUAUAUGUAAUGCGAUCAAAUCAGAUUCGUAAUAGAGUAUACUUAUCAAUAAAGCAUCGUAUUAAGCGGUCAUAAAAUGGCAGAUGUUUAAAAUACGUUGCAUCGUGAUGCUGACUGCAGUUCCCGCCGGAUGUAUAUGUGAAUUAUUGUGAUAAGUGAAUAUCGGAUGAAGUAAUUGAAGAAUAACAUCACUUUGAAGGUAAGCUAAGUCAUUUUAGUUAUGAUUUAUAUAUUAACGAUCUUUAAUUUUUUUAAAGAUAUUUUUUACUACAAAGAUUUAUGAAUAUCACAAUCGCUCAAAAACAUUUAUUUUUAUUGAACAGAGCUAUGAUGGCGAAUGGUGCGUUGUCAAAAAAUUGAUUUCUCUUUUCGUUCUUUUCUCAUUUUUUUGUUUACAUCGGCAUUUCGUGUUUACUUUCGCGUCACAGUUGCUGCGUAAAUAUAGACCAGGAAUCGCCAAAGUUGUUGCGAAAACUGUUAAAAAUGUUUUUGCUGCGUUAGCGAAAUUGUGUGGAUCCGCCGUAAAAAAAUAAGUUCUCGUUAUAUGUUGAGGUAACCGCUACAAUUCACGUUGGUGCAUGACAAACCGGCUGCUGCGCCGCAAGGAUGUGCUUUGCUGAACCAAGUAGGAAAAUCCGUGCCUAAUUAGCCACCAUGCCCAAAACUACCCCCGCUAUUAUCUCGUUCGCUUUCCGUACUACUUCCGUUUGUUUAAAUUGACCGGCUCUGUGCUGAUCUACGACAACAUAGACAAAGCCAAGAAGCUCGAACCCCAGCACCAAUAGGAACCGCACAGAUUGUACGAAAAGAAUGUUAGCCGAUGCAGGACGCAGCGCAAGAUCCGUGUUCAGUUCCCCUGCUACUAUCUUCGUAUGGCGCUUCACGAAUUGAAGCAUAUGAACGUGAGCAAUCUGAUCGAGGUUUUCUUGUCCCACACGGAUAGGAAAGCUAUAACGAUAUGUCACCAAGAAACCGGUCAUGAUGAAAAGCCUAUCUUCACAGGAAACCGCUACAAUUCGUACCAAGGCGGUUCGGAAACCGGCUGCCGUGCCGUUAUCAAAUGAGAAACACUACACGAUCUUUAAGAUGGUGUUGCAAACAGGAAGCUCCUUUUUUACAAAACCGAGUCACAAUCGGAUAUUUUACAACAUCAUCCGACAUACACGUUUCAUCCGACAGUAAAAUGAGUAUCAUCCGACACAAUGACAUAUUUUACGGAUGAAACACCAUCAAUUUCUGAUGCUGACCUUGAGAAACUCUAUCCAUUCUCAUUUUAAAACUGGACGAUUGAACUGGAGAAAACUAAACUGGAAAAACUCAACAGAUAGCAGAAUGGAAAUUUAAGGAUGAGCAAAUACUUUAUGUUUCAUUACACUGCAUUACUACACCCACUCUCGCCGAAAAAAUGAUGACAAUAAACCACUGGUUGUCGAAAUGCUCCGUUGAUGAUUACCUAGCUAUCGAGAAGGUCGCGGAGCGCGUAACUGUUUCAUCAAAGGAACACAAUAAUAUCAACAAUAAGGAUAACUAUAUCCGAAAAUAGAGACGGCUAAGGUUGACGGAGCAACCGGGAAAGCAGCGAGCGGAACGAGGUCUAGUUCCGGUUCCGGUAGCGAUAUAUUUGAAGCGUGAAUAAUUUGAGUGAUAUAAUUUCGAAUUGUUAUUGUAUAAGUUCGAUAAUUGUUAUAAUUGUGUAGUGCAUCAAAAUGUUUGUUAGAA